Molecule: long non-coding RNA, 992 nt
Organism: Oenanthe melanoleuca
Lineage: Eukaryota; Metazoa; Chordata; Aves; Passeriformes; Muscicapidae
Exons: 3
Source: RefSeq, a predicted model, not a curated record
GACAAAGAGAUUUCAGAGUCCUCAUUACUCACAUGCUGACGCUCAGAUCCCAGAUCUCCACCCUCCUCUCAUUGACGGCUACGAAGAUGAAGGCUGAUUGUGGAGCCCACUUGAUGUCGUGAACAAAAGCUGUGACAGAAGUGAAGGUUAAAAGGGGGGUGUGGGAGUCCCGGUGCCACAAAAGGAUGCUCCAGUCCGCAGAGCAGCUGAGGAACAUGUCUGUGCUGGAGGGAUUCCAGGCAACUUUGUACACAGGGCCCUGCUUGGAGAGAAACAAAACAGAAUUUGGUGCUGCCCAGCCUUCCUCCCACAGAAUCCUCUCCUUGCCCGAGCAAGAGCAGCAGUGGAUGUGGCCCUCUUCUGUUCCAGCAAGAAAAAUAUCAGUAUUCUGCAAGAAAGGGAAAAGCAGCCUAGGUUGGUUAAAUUGAUCACUCCUGCAGAAAUCAUCUGGGGCUGGAGGAGUUCAGAGCCAAGGAGGAGCUCCUGUGAGUGGUGAGUAAAGUGGAACCACAACACUGCACAUUUGCUGAGGUCUUCUUCAACAAUGAGCUGGGGUUUGACUCCUGAAAAUCUUAGAUUUUCAGCAAUCCACGUGGAAAAGGCAGGAAUUCUUCAAGUGCUCUGUGGAGGAAGUACUCAGCUGGAUGAAGAGAAGCUCAGCUGAGUCCUGGGUGUGGGAGGUGUUGAACAAAUUCUCCCAGGCUUGGCCAUCACUCAGAGGGGAACUGCCCCAAGGAAAUCCCAUCCUCCCUCCAGGAGAUAUCUCCUGUUAAUGGCCAGUGAGUCCCAGGGCAUGACUGAUAAAAUUCCAUCAUCCCACUGGGAGAUGCUCCAGCCAGGGGAGGAGCCAAGCCUUUCCUACCCAGAUAAAAACUGGGAUUUGGAACACCAGAGCUGCCCUUACCCACAGGUUUGCAGAGGACAAGAGCUACCAGAUCUUUCUACAGAUCACUAUUUCAACAAGAGCACUUCACCUGCACUACCACCACCCU